GCGAACAGCGGGCAUGCCAGGGCGGGAUGACGUAGUGGGCGAGCAGUAAUAGGGAUUACUGGGCGGGAGGCGUGCGCAGGCGGUCCGCAAAGUCUGAUGUGAAAGCCCCGGGCUCAACCUGGGAACUGCAUUGGAAACUAACGGGCGCGAGGGUGGCAGAGGGGGGUGGAAUUCCACGUGUAGCAGUGAAAUGCGUAGAGAUGUGGAGGAACACCGAUGGCGAAGGCAGCCCCCUGGGCUAACACUGACGCUCAGGCACGAAAGCGUGGGGAGCAAACAGGAUUAGAUACCCCAGUAGUC
This 300-nucleotide ribosomal RNA is filed under the name uncultured Ignisphaera sp. Its description in RNAcentral is "bacterial SSU rRNA". It matches the Rfam family "Bacterial small subunit ribosomal RNA", at positions 496 to 795 of the family's 1533-position model. Lineage: Archaea; Thermoproteati; Thermoproteota; Thermoprotei; Desulfurococcales; Desulfurococcaceae. The record is from RNAcentral.